Galeopterus variegatus (Sunda flying lemur) is the source of this 182-nucleotide long non-coding RNA. RefSeq lists it as uncharacterized. NCBI's taxonomy places the organism in Eukaryota, Metazoa, Chordata, Mammalia, Dermoptera, Cynocephalidae. The record is from RefSeq and is a predicted model, not a curated record. The transcript is spliced from 3 exons.
UGUUGCCAGUGGUUAUUGCUUUGAUUGCAAUAACACUUUCAGUAUUUGUUCUGGUGGGUUUGUAUCGAAUGUGCUGGAAGACAGACCCAGGCAUGCCAGAAAAUGGAAAUGAUCAACCUCAGUCCGAUAAAGAGGGUGUGAAGCUUCUCACUGUUAAGACAAUUUCUCACGAGUCUGGUAAG